RNAcentral lists this ribosomal RNA (253 nucleotides) under uncultured bacterium. Its description in RNAcentral is "partial 16S ribosomal RNA". It matches the Rfam family "Bacterial small subunit ribosomal RNA", at positions 524 to 776 of the family's 1533-position model. The record is from RNAcentral.
UACAGAGGUCUCAAGCGUUGUUCGGAUUCAUUGGGCGUAAAGGGUGCGUAGGCGGCGCGGUAAGUCGGGUGUGAAAUCUCGGAGCUUAACUCCGAAACUGCAUUCGAUACUGCCGUGCUUGAGGACUGGAGAGGAGACUGGAAUUUACGGUGUAGCAGUGAAAUGCGUAGAGAUGCGGAGGAACACCGAUGGCGAAGGCAGCCCCCUGGGCCAACACUGACGCUCAGGCACGAAAGCGUGGGGAGCAAACAGG